Molecule: ribosomal RNA, 253 nt
Filed under: uncultured bacterium
Lineage: Bacteria
Description: partial 16S ribosomal RNA
Rfam family: Bacterial small subunit ribosomal RNA
Source: RNAcentral
GACGAACCGUGCGAACGUUGUUCGGAAUCACUGGGCUUAAAGGGCGCGUAGGCGGGUGACCAAGUCAGGGGUGAAAUCUUUCGGCCCAACCGGAAAAGUGCCUCUGAUACUGGUCGUCUUGAGGGAGGUAGGGGUCGAGGGAACUGGUGGUGGGGCGGUGAAAUGCGUAGAUAUCACUAGGAACGCCGGUGGCGAAAGCGCUCGACUGGACCUCUUCUGACGCUGAGGCGCGAAAGCCAGGGGAGCAAACGGG